GAUGAACGCUGGCGGCGUGCCUAAUACAUGCAAGUCGAGCGAACGGACGAGAAGCUUGCUUCUCUGAUGUUAGCGGCGGACGGGUGAGUAACACGUGGAUAACCUACCUAUAAGACUGGGAUAACUUGGGAAACCGGAGCUAAUACCGGAUAAUAUUUUGAACCGCAUGGUUCAAAAGUGAAAGACGGUCUUGCUGUCACUUAUAGAUGGAUCCGCGCUGCAUUAGCUAGUUGGUAAGGUAACGGCUUACCAAGGCAACGAUGCAUAGCCGACCUGAGAGGGUGAUCGGCCACACUGGAACUGAGACACGGUCCAGACUCCUACGGGAGGCAGCAGUAGGGAAUCUUCCGCAAUGGGCGAAAGCCUGACGGAGCAACGCCGCGUGAGUGAUGAAGGUCUUCGGAUCGUAAAACUCUGUUAUUAGGGAAGAACAUAUGUGUAAGUAACUGUGCACAUCUUGACGGUACCUAAUCAGAAAGCCACGGCUAACUACGUG
Molecule: ribosomal RNA, 496 nt
Filed under: uncultured bacterium
Lineage: Bacteria
Description: partial 16S ribosomal RNA
Rfam family: Bacterial small subunit ribosomal RNA
Source: RNAcentral